CUACACAUGCAAGUCGAACGGUAACAGGAAGCAGCUUGCUGCUUCGCUGACGAGUGGCGGACGGGUGAGUAAUGUCUGGGAAACUGCCUGAUGGAGGGGGAUAACUACUGGAAACGGUAGCUAAUACCGCAUAACGUCGCAAGACCAAAGAGGGGGACCUUCGGGCCUCUUGCCAUCGGAUGUGCCCAGAUGGGAUUAGCUAGUAGGUGGGGUAACGGCUCACCUAGGCGACGAUCCCUAGCUGGUCUGAGAGGAUGACCAGCCACACUGGAACUGAGACACGGUCCAGACUCCUACGGGAGGCAGCAGUGGGGAAUAUUGCACAAUGGGCGCAAGCCUGAUGCAGCCAUGCCGCGUGUAUGAAGAAGGCCUUCGGGUUGUAAAGUACUUUCAGCGGGGAGGAAGGCGAUAAGGUUAAUAACCUUGUCGAUUGACGUUACCCGCAGAAGAAGCACCGGCUAACUCCGUGCCAGCAGCCGCGGUAAUACGGAGGGUGCAAGCGUUAAUCGGAAUUACUGGGCGUAAAGCGCACGCAGGCGGUCUGUCAAGUCGGAUGUGAAAUCCCCGGGCUCAACCUGGGAACUGCAUUCGAAACUGGCAGGCUAGAGUCUUGUAGAGGGGGGUAGAAUUCCAGGUGUAGCGGUGAAAUGCGUAAGAUCUGGAGGAAUACCGGUGGCGAAGGCG
RNAcentral lists this ribosomal RNA (684 nucleotides) under uncultured bacterium. RNAcentral describes it as "bacterial SSU rRNA". It matches the Rfam family "Bacterial small subunit ribosomal RNA", at positions 49 to 723 of the family's 1533-position model. The record is from RNAcentral.